UUAAGCGACUAAGCGUACACGGUGGAUGCCCUGGCAGUCAGAGGCGAUGAAGGGCGUGCUAAUCUGCGAUAAGCGCCGGUAAGGUGAUAUGAACCGUUAUAACCGGCGAUACCCGAAUGGGGAAACCCAGUGUGAUUCGUCACACUAUCAUUAACUGAAUCCAUAGGUUAAUGAGGCGAACCGGGGGAACUGAAACAUCUAAGUACCCCGAGGAAAAGAAAUCAACCGAGAUUCCCCCAGUAGCGGCGAGCGAACGGGGAGGAGCCCAGAGCCUGAAUCAGCAUGUGUGUUAGUGGAAGCGUCUGGAAAGGCGCGCGAUACAGGGUGACAGCCCCGUACACAAAAGCGCAUGUGUUGUGAGCUCGAUGAGUAGGGCGGGACACGUGGUAUCCUGUCUGAAUAUGGGGGGACCAUCCUCCAAGGCUAAAUACUCCUGACUGACCGAUAGUGAACCAGUACCGUGAGGGAAAGGCGAAAAGAACCCCGGCGAGGGGAGUGAAAAAGAACCUGAAACCGUGUACGUACAAGCAGUGGGAGCACAGGUUUACCUGUGUGACUGCGUACCUUUUGUAUAAUGGGUCAGCGACUUAUAUUCUGUAGCAAGGUUAACCGUAUAGGGGAGCCGGAGGGAAACCGAGUCUUAAUUGGGCGUUAAGUUGCAGGGUAUAGACCCGAAACCCGGUGAUCUAGCCAUGGGCAGGUUGAAGGUUGGGUAACACUAACUGGAGGACCGAACCGACUAAUGUUGAAAAAUUAGCGGAUGACCUGUGGCUGGGGGUGAAAGGCCAAUCAAACCGGGAGAUAGCUGGUUCUCCCCGAAAGCUAUUUAGGUAGCGCCUCGUGAAUUCAUCUCCGGGGGUAGAGCACUGUUUCGGCUAGGGGGCCAUCCCGGCUUACCAACCCGAUGCAAACUGCGAAUACCGGAGAAUGUUAUCACGGGAGACACACGGCGGGUGCUAACGUCCGUCGUGAAGAGGGAAACAACCCAGACCGCCAGCUAAGGUCCCAAAGUCAUGGUUAAGUGGGAAACGAUGUGGGAAGGCCCAGACAGCCAGGAUGUUGGCUUAGAAGCAGCCAUCAUUUAAAGAAAGCGUAAUAGCUCACUGGUCGAGUCGGCCUGCGCGGAAGAUGUAACGGGGCUAAACCAUGCACCGAAGCUGCGGCAGCGACGCUUAUGCGUUGUUGGGUAGGGGAGCGUUCUGUAAGCCUGUGAAGGUGGCCUGUGAGGCAUGCUGGAGGUAUCAGAAGUGCGAAUGCUGACAUAAGUAACGAUAAAGCGGGUGAAAAGCCCGCUCGCCGGAAGACCAAGGGUUCCUGUCCAACGUUAAUCGGGGCAGGGUGAGUCGACCCCUAAGGCGAGGCCGAAAGGCGUAGUCGAUGGGAAACGGGUUAAUAUUCCCGUACUUGGUGUUACUGCGAAGGGGGGACGGAGAAGGCUAUGUUGGCCGGGCGACGGUUGUCCCGGUUUAAGCGUGUAGGUGUGUGUUCCAGGUAAAUCCGGUUCACUUUAACACUGAGGCGUGACGACGAGGCACUACGGUGCUGAAGCAACAAAUGCCCUGCUUCCAGGAAAAGCCUCUAAGCAUCAGGUAACAUCAAAUCGUACCCCAAACCGACACAGGUGGUCAGGUAGAGAAUACCAAGGCGCUUGAGAGAACUCGGGUGAAGGAACUAGGCAAAAUGGUGCCGUAACUUCGGGAGAAGGCACGCUGACACGUAGGUGAAGUGAUUUACUCAUGGAGCUGAAGUCAGUCGAAGAUACCAGCUGGCUGCAACUGUUUAUUAAAAACACAGCACUGUGCAAACACGAAAGUGGACGUAUACGGUGUGACGCCUGCCCGGUGCCGGAAGGUUAAUUGAUGGGGUCAGCGCAAGCGAAGCUCCUGAUCGAAGCCCCGGUAAACGGCGGCCGUAACUAUAACGGUCCUAAGGUAGCGAAAUUCCUUGUCGGGUAAGUUCCGACCUGCACGAAUGGCGUAAUGAUGGCCAGGCUGUCUCCACCCGAGACUCAGUGAAAUUGAACUCGCUGUGAAGAUGCAGUGUACCCGCGGCAAGACGGAAAGACCCCGUGAACCUUUACUAUAGCUUGACACUGAACAUUGAGCCUUGAUGUGUAGGAUAGGUGGGAGGCUUUGAAGUGUGGACGCCAGUCUGCAUGGAGCCGACCUUGAAAUACCACCCUUUAAUGUUUGAUGUUCUAACGUGGACCCGUAAUCCGGGUUGCGGACAGUGUCUGGUGGGUAGUUUGACUGGGGCGGUCUCCUCCUAAAGAGUAACGGAGGAGCACGAAGGUUGGCUAAUCCUGGUCGGACAUCAGGAGGUUAGUGCAAUGGCAUAAGCCAGCUUGACUGCGAGCGUGACGGCGCGAGCAGGUGCGAAAGCAGGUCAUAGUGAUCCGGUGGUUCUGAAUGGAAGGGCCAUCGCUCAACGGAUAAAAGGUACUCCGGGGAUAACAGGCUGAUACCGCCCAAGAGUUCAUAUCGACGGCGGUGUUUGGCACCUCGAUGUCGGCUCAUCACAUCCUGGGGCUGAAGUAGGUCCCAAGGGUAUGGCUGUUCGCCAUUUAAAGUGGUACGCGAGCUGGGUUUAGAACGUCGUGAGACAGUUCGGUCCCUAUCUGCCGUGGGCGCUGGAGAACUGAGGGGGGCUGCUCCUAGUACGAGAGGACCGGAGUGGACGCAUCACUGGUGUUCGGGUUGUCAUGCCAAUGGCACUGCCCGGUAGCUAAAUGCGGAAGAGAUAAGUGCUGAAAGCAUCUAAGCACGAAACUUGCCCCGAGAUGAGUUCUCCCUGAGACUUAGAGUCUCCUGAAGGAACGUUGAAGACGACGACGUUGAUAGGCCGGGUGUGUAAGCGCAGCGAUGCGUUGAGCUAACCGGUACUAAUGAACCGUGAGGCUUAACCUU
This 2906-nucleotide ribosomal RNA is filed under the name Salmonella enterica. Its description in RNAcentral is "bacterial LSU rRNA". It matches the Rfam family "Bacterial large subunit ribosomal RNA". The record is from RNAcentral. Lineage: Bacteria; Pseudomonadati; Pseudomonadota; Gammaproteobacteria; Enterobacterales; Enterobacteriaceae.